Molecule: ribosomal RNA, 458 nt
Filed under: uncultured bacterium
Lineage: Bacteria
Description: partial 16S ribosomal RNA
Rfam family: Bacterial small subunit ribosomal RNA
Source: RNAcentral
CCUACGGGAGGCAGCAGUGAGGAAUAUUGGUCAAUGGGCGAGAGCCUGAACCAGCCAAGUCGCGUGAGGGAGUACUGCCCUAUGGGUUGUAAACCUCUUUUGUCGGGGAGCAAAAGCCGGACGUGUCCGGCUGUGAGAGUACCCGAAGAAAAAGCAUCGGCUAACUCCGUGCCAGCAGCCGCGGUAAUACGGAGGAUGCGAGCGUUAGCCGGAUUUAUUGGGGUUAAAGGGUGCGCAGGCGGAUUUUUAAGUCAGCGGUCAAAUCGUGGGGCUCAACCCCAUCCAGCCGUUGAAACUGGGGAUCUAGAGUGUGCGAGAGGUAUGCGGAAUGCGUGGUGUAGCGGUGAAAUGCAUAGAUAUCACGCAGAACCCCGAUUGCGAAGGCAGCAUACCGGUGCACAACUGACGCUCAGGCACGAAAGCGUGGGUAUCGAACAGGAUUAGAUACCCUUGGAGUC